Non-coding RNA from Sinorhizobium sp. RAC02, 68 nucleotides. NCBI's taxonomy places the organism in Bacteria, Pseudomonadati, Pseudomonadota, Alphaproteobacteria, Hyphomicrobiales, Rhizobiaceae. The record is from Rfam.
AGUCAAGAGUCUUUGACGCCAAUUUUGGUGAGCGGAUUUCUUUUGCCUUUUGAAAGGUGAAAGACAUG